UACGUAGGGGGCAAGCGUUGUUCGGAAUUACUGGGCGUAAAGCGCGCGUAGGCGGUCUGACAAGUCAGAUGUGAAAGCCCCGGGCUCAACUUGGGAACUGCAUUUGAUACUGUCAGACUAGAGUACAGAAGAGGUGACUGGAAUUCCCAGUGUAGCGGUGAAAUGCGUAGAUAUUGGGAGGAACACCAGAUGCGAAGGCGGGUCACUGGGCUGAUACUGACGCUGAAGUGCGAAAGCCAGGGGAGCGAACGGG
This 253-nucleotide ribosomal RNA is filed under the name uncultured bacterium. RNAcentral describes it as "partial 16S ribosomal RNA". It matches the Rfam family "Bacterial small subunit ribosomal RNA", at positions 524 to 776 of the family's 1533-position model. The record is from RNAcentral.